Molecule: long non-coding RNA, 453 nt
Filed under: Oryza brachyantha (malo sina)
Lineage: Eukaryota; Viridiplantae; Streptophyta; Magnoliopsida; Poales; Poaceae
Description: long non-coding RNA (OBRA_LNC001476)
Source: RNAcentral
CAGGAGGUAGCAGCACCACUGCUGCUGCACCGAGCACCACCCGAGUAUAGUAGAUCACCAUCACCUUGCUGCAAACAUCCAUGUCUAUUUGCUUCUGUAUGCGUCUCGUUCGCCCUUAAUUUGCAAGAUUUCAGCUAUUUCUUUUGCCAUUUGGUUCUUAAUUAGUAUCCUUCUUGCUCUUUAGCAAUAGCUAGCAGCUCUAUCUCCUCAUCAUUUUCACUCUUGAUUGCUUCUUCACUUAAACUUGGGUCUUUUUAGUUUCUUUUUUUUUUUACUUAUCUUGUUGCUAAAUUACCUAGCUAGCUAGGUCAGUGAGUAUAUAUAUAUGUGGCAAUCGGCAAACUGGUAAUUGGGAGUAAUAAGAUAGGGAAAUGAGCUAAUUGUCAUAGCACUACUGUUCCUCAUCUCCCAUAUAUACAUACUACCCAUGAUGAGAUGAAAGCAAUACUUGAG